RNAcentral lists this ribosomal RNA (280 nucleotides) under uncultured bacterium. RNAcentral describes it as "partial 16S ribosomal RNA". It matches the Rfam family "Bacterial small subunit ribosomal RNA", at positions 29 to 334 of the family's 1533-position model. The record is from RNAcentral.
AACGAACGCUGGCGGCAGGCUUAACACAUGCAAGUCGCGCGAAGUCUUCGGACUUAGCGGCGGACGGGUGAGUAACGCGUGGGAACGUGCCCUUCAGUGCGGAACAGCCCCGGGAAACUGGGAUUAAUACCGCAUACCGCCCGUUCGGGGGAAAGAUUUAUCGCUGAGGGAUCGGCCCGCGUCUGAUUAGAUAGUUGGUGGGGUAAUGGCCUACCAAGUCUACGAUCAGUAGCUGGUCUGAGAGGAUGACCAACCACACUGGGACUGAGACACGGCCCAG